Long non-coding RNA from Gadus morhua (Atlantic cod), 240 nucleotides. RefSeq lists it as uncharacterized. The record is from RefSeq and is a predicted model, not a curated record. Lineage: Eukaryota; Metazoa; Chordata; Actinopteri; Gadiformes; Gadidae. The transcript is spliced from 2 exons.
UUUGUUUCCACACGGCACAACUUAGCGACACACCACCUGGCAGAGCAUGGCAAGGGAGAAACAACACGGUCGGUUGUCUCCACACUCGGUAAAGUUGAUUUAAGAUAAAGAGUUAAGACAUUACAUGUAAACAAAGAAGACGAAGACAGAAGAAAAUACAAGAUUCAGCCCUUUUGGUAGUGUGCAGCCUACGAGUUCUCACGGGUCGGUCGGUGACUGUGAAUAAACCCUGUUCUUAAA